CCUACGGGAGGCAGCAGUAGGGAAUCUUCCGCAAUGGACGAAAGUCUGACGGAGCAAUGCCGCGUGAGUGAAGAAGGUUUUCGGAUCGUAAAACUCUGUUGUUAGAGAAGAACAAGGAUGAGAGUAACUGCUCAUCCCCUGACGGUAUCUAACCAGAAAGCCACGGCUAACUACGUGCCAGCAGCCGCGGUAAUACGUAGGUGGCAAGCGUUGUCCGGAUUUAUUGGGCGUAAAGCGAGCGCAGGCGGUUCUUUAAGUCUGAUGUGAAAGCCCCCGGCUCAACCGGGGAGGGUCAUUGGAAACUGGAGAACUUGAGUGCAGAAGAGGAGAGUGGAAUUCCACGUGUAGCGGUGAAAUGCGUAGAUAUGUGGAGGAACACCAGUGGCGAAGGCGACUCUCUGGUCUGUAACUGACGCUGAGGCUCGAAAGCGUGGGGAGCAAACAGGAUUAGAUACCCUGGUAGUCCACGCCGUAAACGAUGAGUGCUAAGUGUUGGAGGGUUUCCGCCCUUCAGUGCUGCAGCUAACGCAUUAAGCACUCCGCCUGGGGAGUACGACCGCAAGGUUGAAACUCAAAGGAAUUGACGG
RNAcentral lists this ribosomal RNA (587 nucleotides) under uncultured bacterium. RNAcentral describes it as "bacterial SSU rRNA". It matches the Rfam family "Bacterial small subunit ribosomal RNA", at positions 338 to 916 of the family's 1533-position model. The record is from RNAcentral.